RNAcentral lists this ribosomal RNA (1482 nucleotides) under metagenome. RNAcentral's name for it is "bacterial SSU rRNA". It matches the Rfam family "Bacterial small subunit ribosomal RNA". The record is from RNAcentral.
AGAGUUUGAUCCUGGCUCAGGAUGAACGCUGGCGGCGUGCCUAAUACAUGCAAGUCGAACGCUUCACUUCGGUGAAGAGUGGCGAACGGGUGAGUAAUACAUAAGUAACCUGGCAUCUACAGGGGGAUAACUGAUGGAAACGUCAGCUAAGACCGCAUAGGUGUAGAGAUCGCAUGAACUCUAUAUGAAAAGUGCUACGGGACUGGUAGAUGAUGGACUUAUGGCGCAUUAGCUUGUUGGUAGGGUAACGGCCUACCAAGGCGACGAUGCGUAGCCGACCUGAGAGGGUGACCGGCCACACUGGGACUGAGACACGGCCCAGACUCCUACGGGAGGCAGCAGUAGGGAAUUUUCGGCAAUGGGGGAAACCCUGACCGAGCAACGCCGCGUGAAGGAAGAAGUAAUUCGUUAUGUAAACUUCUGUCAUAGAGGAAGAACGGUGGAUAUAGGGAAUGAUAUCCAAGUGACGGUACUCUAUAAGAAAGCCACGGCUAGCUACGUGCCAGCAGCCGCGGUAAUACGUAGGUGGCGAGCGUUAUCCGGAAUUAUUGGGCGUAAAGAGGGAGCAGGCGGCACUAAGGGUCUGUGGUGAAAGAUCGAAGCUUAACUUCGGUAAGCCAUGGAAACCGUAGAGCUAGAGUGUGUGAGAGGAUCGUGGAAUUCCAUGUGUAGCGGUGAAAUGCGUAGAUAUAUGGAGGAACACCAGUGGCGAAGGCGACGAUCUGGCGCAUAACUGACGCUCAGUCCCGAAAGCGUGGGGAGCAAAUAGGAUUAGAUACCCUAGUAGUCCACGCCGUAAACGAUGAGUACUAAGUGUUGGGUGUCAAACCUCAGUGCUGCAGUUAACGCAAUAAGUACUCCGCCUGAGUAGUACGUUCGCAAGAAUGAAACUCAAAGGAAUUGACGGGGGCCCGCACAAGCGGUGGAGCAUGUGGUUUAAUUCGAAGCAACGCGAAGAACCUUACCAGGUCUUGACAUCGAUCUAAAGGCUCCAGAGAUGGAGAGAUAGCUAUAGAGAAGACAGGUGGUGCAUGGUUGUCGUCAGCUCGUGUCGUGAGAUGUUGGGUUAAGUCCCGCAACGAGCGCAACCCCUGUUGCCAGUUGCCAGCAUUAAGUUGGGGACUCUGGCGAGACUGCCGGUGACAAGCCGGAGGAAGGCGGGGAUGACGUCAAAUCAUCAUGCCCCUUAUGACCUGGGCUACACACGUGCUACAUGGACAGAGCAGAGGGAAGCGAAGCCGCGAGGUGGAGCGAAACCCAUAAAACUGUUCUCAGUUCGGACUGCAGUCUGCAACUCGACUGCACGAAGAUGGAAUCGCUAGUAAUCGCGAAUCAGCAUGUCGCGGUGAAUACGUUCUCGGGCCUUGUACACACCGCCCGUCACACCAUGAGAGUCGGUAACACCCGAAGCCGGUGGCCUAACCGCAAGGAAGGAGCUGUCUAAGGUGGGACUGAUGAUUGGGGUGAAGUCGGAACAAGGUA